Molecule: transfer RNA, 72 nt
Filed under: Acidimicrobiales bacterium
Lineage: Bacteria; Bacillati; Actinomycetota; Acidimicrobiia; Acidimicrobiales
Description: tRNA-Gln
Rfam family: tRNA
About the family: Transfer RNA (tRNA) molecules are approximately 80 nucleotides in length.
Source: RNAcentral
UCGGGGGUGAUGUAAUUGGCAACAUGCGAGGUUUUGGUCCUCGUCUUAGGGGUUCGAGUCCUCUCCCCCGAG